RNAcentral lists this ribosomal RNA (460 nucleotides) under uncultured bacterium. RNAcentral's name for it is "partial 16S ribosomal RNA". It matches the Rfam family "Bacterial small subunit ribosomal RNA", at positions 338 to 795 of the family's 1533-position model. The record is from RNAcentral.
CCUACGGGCGGCAGCAGUGAGGAAUAUUGGGCAAUGGGGGCGAGCCUGAACCAGCCAAGUAGCGUGAAGGAUGACUGCCCUACGGGUGUUAAACUUCUUUUAUAAAGGAAUAAAGUGAAGCACGUGUGCCUUUUUGUAUGUACUUUAUGAAUAAGGAUCGGCUAACUCCGUGCCAGCAGCCGCGGGAAUACGGAGGAUCCGAGCGUUAUCCGGAAUUAUUGGGUUUAAAGGGAGCGUAGAUGGGUUUUUAAGUCAGUUGUGAAAGUUUGCGGCUCAACCGUAAAAUUGCAAUUGAUACUGGCAGCCUUGAGUACAGUUGAGGUAGGCGGAAUUCAUGGUGUAGCGGUGAAAUGCUUAGAUAUCACGAAGAACUCCGAUUGCGAAGGCAGCUUACUAAACUGCCACUGACAUUGAUGCUCGAAAGUGUGGGUAUCAAACAGGAUUAGAUACCCCAGUAGUC